RNAcentral lists this ribosomal RNA (467 nucleotides) under uncultured bacterium. RNAcentral's name for it is "partial 16S ribosomal RNA". It matches the Rfam family "Bacterial small subunit ribosomal RNA", at positions 28 to 507 of the family's 1533-position model. The record is from RNAcentral.
GAUGAACGCUGGCGGCGUGCUUAACACAUGCAAGUCGAACGGAAAGGCCAUUCCUUGCUCUGGUGCUCGAGUGGCGAACGGGUGAGUAACACGUGGGUGAUCUGCCCUGCACUUUGGGAUAAGCCUGGGAAACUGGGGCUAAUACCGGAUAGGACCAUGCGUUGGAUGGUGUGGGGGAGAGAUUUUUCGGUGUGGGGUGUGCUUGCGGCCUAUCAGCUUGUUGGGGGGGUGAUGGCCUACCAAGGCGUCGUCGGGUAGCCGGCCUGAGAGGGUGUACGGCCACAUUGGGGCCUAGAGGAGGCCCAGACUCCUACGGGGGGCAACAGGGGGGAAGAUUGGACAAGGGGCGCGAGGCGGAUGCAGCGACGCCGCGGGGGGGAUGACGGGCUUCGGGGUGGAAACUCCUUUCGCAAUUGACGAAGCUUUUUGUGACGGUAGGUUGAGAAGAAGCACCGGCUAACUACGUG